GCGCUAGUAGCUUAGAAUAAAAGCAUCGGUCUUGUAAUCCGAAGAUCGGAGGCUAAAUCCCUCCCUGACGCC
RNAcentral lists this transfer RNA (72 nucleotides) under Pethia gelius (golden barb). RNAcentral's name for it is "tRNA-Thr". It matches the Rfam family "tRNA". From Rfam's summary of the family: Transfer RNA (tRNA) molecules are approximately 80 nucleotides in length. Their secondary structure includes four short double-helical elements and three loops (D, anti-codon, and T loops). Further hydrogen bonds mediate the characteristic L-shaped molecular structure. tRNAs have two regions of fundamental functional importance: the anti-codon, which is responsible for specific mRNA codon recognition, and the 3' end, to which the tRNAs corresponding amino acid is attached (by aminoacyl-tRNA synthetases). tRNAs cope with the degeneracy of the genetic code in two manners: having more than one tRNA (with a specific anti-codon) for a particular amino acid; and 'wobble' base-pairing, i.e. permitting non-standard base-pairing at the 3rd anti-codon position. The record is from RNAcentral. Lineage: Eukaryota; Metazoa; Chordata; Actinopteri; Cypriniformes; Cyprinidae.